AUUGAACGCUGGCGGCAUGCCUUACACAUGCAAGUCGAACGGCAGCACGGGAGCAAUCCUGGUGGCGAGUGGCGAACGGGUGAGUAAAGUAUCGGAACGUGCCCAGUCGCGGGGGAUAACGUAGCGAAAGUUAGGCUAAUACCGCAUAAGAUCUAUGGAUGAAAGAGUGGGAUCGCAAGACCUAGAGCGAUCGGAGCGGCGGAGAUCGGAGUAGGUAGGUGGAGGGGUAAAGGCUCACCAAGCAGACGAUCUGUAGCUGGACUGAGAGGACGACCAGCCACACUGGGACUGAGACACGGCCCAGACUCCUACGGGAGGCAGCAGUGGGGAAUUUUGGACAAUGGGCGAAAGCCUGAUCCAGCCAUGCCGCGUGCAGGAUGAAGGCCUUCGGGUUGUAAACUGCUUUUGUACGGAACGAAAAGGUUUGGCCUAAUAAGCUGAGCUCAUGACGGUACCGUAAGAAUAAGCACCGGCUAACUACGUGCCAGCAGCCGCAGUAA
This 500-nucleotide ribosomal RNA is filed under the name uncultured bacterium. RNAcentral's name for it is "partial 16S ribosomal RNA". It matches the Rfam family "Bacterial small subunit ribosomal RNA", at positions 29 to 523 of the family's 1533-position model. The record is from RNAcentral.